RNAcentral lists this ribosomal RNA (231 nucleotides) under uncultured bacterium. RNAcentral describes it as "partial 16S ribosomal RNA". It matches the Rfam family "Bacterial small subunit ribosomal RNA", at positions 355 to 576 of the family's 1533-position model. The record is from RNAcentral.
UAGGGAAUCUUCGGCAAUGGGGGCAACCCUGACCGAGCAACGCCGCGUGAGUGAAGAAGGUUUUCGGAUCGUAAAGCUCUGUUGUAAGUCAAGAACGGGUGUGAGAGUGGAAAGUUCACACUGUGACGGUAGCUUACCAGAAAGGGACGGCUAACUACGUGCCAGCAGCCGCGGUAAUACGUAGGUCCCGAGCGUUGUCCGGAUUUUAUUGGGCGUAAAGCGAGCGCAGGC